Transfer RNA from Rubrivivax gelatinosus IL144, 73 nucleotides. It matches the Rfam family "tRNA". From Rfam's summary of the family: Transfer RNA (tRNA) molecules are approximately 80 nucleotides in length. Their secondary structure includes four short double-helical elements and three loops (D, anti-codon, and T loops). Lineage: Bacteria; Pseudomonadati; Pseudomonadota; Betaproteobacteria; Burkholderiales; Sphaerotilaceae. The record is from Rfam.
UCCCCGAUAGCUCAGUCGGUAGAGCGCCGGACUGUUAAUCCGUAGGUCCCUGGUUCGAGCCCAGGUCGGGGAG